Molecule: transfer-messenger RNA, 383 nt
Filed under: Patescibacteria group
Lineage: Bacteria
Also listed under: 1 other name
Description: SCUL01 sp004297205 Standard tmRNA
Rfam family: transfer-messenger RNA
About the family: Bacterial tmRNA, also known as 10Sa RNA or SsrA, is named for its dual tRNA and mRNA-like properties. Its role is to liberate the mRNA from a stalled ribosome.
Source: RNAcentral
GGGGAUGCCCGGCUUCGAUAGGAUGCAUUCCGAUGAUGCGCGCGCCGCGAUCCACGGCACCCGCGUCCCAAUCCGUGGAACCCUUUGAAGUGCCAACGCACUCACCAAGGUGAAGAACGCCCUGCGCGUUCCGAGCCUGGUUCCGUCGGUCGCCUAAUAACGACCUGACCGUCCCCUGCUCCGCGCCUGCCGGAGCCGAUCCGGACGUCAUCUGCAGGCUCGCGUCUGCGCCGUGCCCCGGCGCUGCCGUCAGAUCCACGGGGCUUGCGGCGAGCGUUUUUUGAACGCUUUCACCGCUCGCCGGACUUCUAAGCGUCCUACGCGCGUAGAGCAUCAGCGGUUCCGUAUCUUACACGUGGGUUCGACUCCCACCAUCUCCACUU